Molecule: ribosomal RNA, 136 nt
Filed under: uncultured eukaryote
Lineage: Eukaryota
Description: partial 18S ribosomal RNA
Rfam family: Eukaryotic small subunit ribosomal RNA
Source: RNAcentral
UGGUGGAGCGAUUUGUCUGCUUAAUUGCGAUAACGAACGAGACUCUGGCCUACUAACUAGAAGACAGUUCUUCGAGACUGUCAUACUUCUUAGAGGGAUAAGGGGAUUGAAGCCCCAACGAGAUUGAGCAAUAACA